GGCCCCUUGGUCAAGUGGUUAAGACAUCGCCCUUUCACGGCGGUAUCACGGGUUCGAAUCCCGUAGGGGUCAC
RNAcentral lists this transfer RNA (73 nucleotides) under Alloiococcus otitis. RNAcentral's name for it is "tRNA-Glu". It matches the Rfam family "tRNA". From Rfam's summary of the family: Transfer RNA (tRNA) molecules are approximately 80 nucleotides in length. Their secondary structure includes four short double-helical elements and three loops (D, anti-codon, and T loops). Further hydrogen bonds mediate the characteristic L-shaped molecular structure. tRNAs have two regions of fundamental functional importance: the anti-codon, which is responsible for specific mRNA codon recognition, and the 3' end, to which the tRNAs corresponding amino acid is attached (by aminoacyl-tRNA synthetases). tRNAs cope with the degeneracy of the genetic code in two manners: having more than one tRNA (with a specific anti-codon) for a particular amino acid; and 'wobble' base-pairing, i.e. permitting non-standard base-pairing at the 3rd anti-codon position. The record is from RNAcentral. Lineage: Bacteria; Bacillati; Bacillota; Bacilli; Lactobacillales; Carnobacteriaceae.